This 253-nucleotide ribosomal RNA is filed under the name uncultured bacterium. RNAcentral describes it as "partial 16S ribosomal RNA". It matches the Rfam family "Bacterial small subunit ribosomal RNA", at positions 524 to 776 of the family's 1533-position model. The record is from RNAcentral.
UACGUAGGGUCCGAGCGUUGUCCGGAAUUACUGGGCGUAAAGAGCUCGUAGGUGGUUUGUCGCGUUGUUCGUGAAAACUCACAGCUCAACUGUGGGCGUGCGGGCGAUACGGGCAGACUAGAGUACUGCAGGGGAGACUGGAAUUCCUGGUGUAGCGGUGGAAUGUGCAGAUAUCAGGAGGAACACCGGUGGCGAAGGCGGUUCUCUGGGCAUUACCUGACGCUGAGGAGCGAAAGCGUGGGGAGCGAACAGG